Molecule: signal recognition particle RNA, 262 nt
Filed under: Deltaproteobacteria bacterium
Lineage: Bacteria; Pseudomonadati; Myxococcota; Myxococcia
Description: signal recognition particle sRNA large type
Rfam family: Bacterial large signal recognition particle RNA
About the family: The signal recognition particle (SRP) is a universally conserved ribonucleoprotein involved in the co-translational targeting of proteins to membranes. Archaeal SRP consists of a 7S RNA and homologues of the eukaryotic SRP19 and SRP54 proteins. In most bacteria, the SRP consists of a 4.5S RNA and the Ffh protein (a homologue of the eukaryotic SRP54 protein).
Source: RNAcentral
UCGUGCUAGAUGGGGAGCUAGCGGUGCCCUGUAACCCGAAAUCCGCUUAUGCGGGGUCGAAAAUCCUUCAUGAGAAUUGUGAUGCGGCCGUGUCUUUGAGUCACCUUUGGGGUGGGGUGGACCUCGCGUGACAGGCAUUUACGAACCCCGUCAGAUCCGGGAGGAAGCAGCGGUAAGUAAAACAGUCUGUGUCGUGAUGGGAUCUAUCUUUUUCCCCGGGCGAUGAAAUCACGCCGCUAAUCGUUCGAAUAAGGAUGCACGA